GAUGAACGCUGGCGGCGUGCCUAAUACAUGCCAGUCGAGCGAACAGACGAGGAGCUUGCUCCUCUGACGUUAGCGGCGGACGGGUGAGUAACACGUGGAUAACCUACCUAUAAGACUGGGAUAACUUCGGGAAACCGGAGCUAAUACCGGAUAAUAUAUUGAACCGCAUGGUUCAAUAGUGAAAGACGGUUUUGCUGUCACUUAUAGAUGGAUCCGCGCCGCAUUAGCUAGUUGGUAAGGUAACGGCUUACCAAGGCGACGAUGCGUAGCCGACCUGAGAGGGUGAUCGGCCACACUGGAACUGAGACACGGUCCAGACUCCUACGGGAGGCAGCAGUAGGGAAUCUUCCGCAAUGGGCGAAAGCCUGACGGAGCAACGCCGCGUGAGUGAUGAAGGUCUUCGGAUCGUAAAACUCUGUUAUUAGGGAAGAACAAAUGUGUAAGUAACUAUGCACGUCCUGACGGUACCUAAUCAGAAAGCCACGGCUAACUACGUG
RNAcentral lists this ribosomal RNA (497 nucleotides) under uncultured bacterium. RNAcentral describes it as "partial 16S ribosomal RNA". It matches the Rfam family "Bacterial small subunit ribosomal RNA", at positions 28 to 507 of the family's 1533-position model. The record is from RNAcentral.